AUGCAAGUCGAACGAACUCUGGUAUUGAUUGGUGCUUGCAUCAUGAUUUACAUUUGAGUGAGUGGCGAACUGGUGAGUAACACGUGGGAAACCUGCCCAGAAGCGGGGGAUAACACCUGGAAACAGAUGCUAAUACCGCAUAACAACUUGGACCGCAUGGUCCGAGUUUGAAAGAUGGCUUCGGCUAUCACUUUUGGAUGGUCCCGCGGCGUAUUAGCUAGAUGGUGGGGUAACGGCUCACCAUGGCAAUGAUACGUAGCCGACCUGAGAGGGUAAUCGGCCACAUUGGGACUGAGACACGGCCCAAACUCCUACGGGAGGCAGCAGUAGGGAAUCUUCCACAAUGGACGAAAGUCUGAUGGAGCAACGCCGCGUGAGUGAAGAAGGGUUUCGGCUCGUAAAACUCUGUUGUUAAAGAAGAACAUAUCUGAGAGUAACUGUUCAGGUAUUGACGGUAUUUAACCAGAAAGCCACGGCUAACUACGUGCCAGCAGCCGCGGUAAUACGUAGGUGGCAAGCGUUGUCCGGAUUUAUUGGGCGUAAAGCGAGCGCAGGCGGUUUUUUAAGUCUGAUGUGAAAGCCUUCGGCUCAACCGAAGAAGUGCAUCGGAAACUGGGAAACUUGAGUGCAGAAGAGGACAGUGGAACUCCAUGUGUAGCGGUGAAAUGCGUAGAUAUAUGGAAGAACACCAGUGGCGAAGGCGGCUGUCUGGUCUGUAACUGACGCUGAGGCUCGAAAGUAUGGGUAGCAAACAGGAUUAGAUACCCUGGUAGUCCAUACCGUAAACGAUGAAUGCUAAGUGUUGGAGGGUUUCCGCCCUUCAGUGCUGCAGCUAACGCAUUAAGCAUUCCGCCUGGGGAGUACGGCCGCAAGGCUGAAACUCAAAGGAAUUGACGGGGGCCCGCACAAGCGGUGGAGCAUGUGGUUUAAUUCGAAGCUACGCGAAGAACCUUACCAGGUCUUGACAUACUAUGCAAAUCUAAGAGAUUAGACGUUCCCUUCGGGGACAUGGAUACAGGUGGUGCAUGGUUGUCGUCAGCUCGUGUCGUGAGAUGUUGGGUUAAGUCCCGCAACGAGCGCAACCCUUAUUAUCAGUUGCCAGCAUUAAGUUGGGCACUCUGGUGAGACUGCCGGUGACAAACCGGAGGAAGGUGGGGAUGACGUCAAAUCAUCAUGCCCCUUAUGACCUGGGCUACACACGUGCUACAAUGGAUGGUACAACGAGUUGCGAACUCGCGAGAGUAAGCUAAUCUCUUAAAGCCAUUCUCAGUUCGGAUUGUAGGCUGCAACUCGCCUACAUGAAGUCGGAAUCGCUAGUAAUCGCGGAUCAGCAUGCCGCGGUGAAUACGUUCCCGGGCCUUGUACACACCGCCCGUCACACCAUGAGAGUUUGUAACACCCAAAGUCGGUGGGGUAACCUUUUAGGAACCAGCCGCCUAAGGUGGGACAGAUGAUUAGGGUGAAGUCGUAA
RNAcentral lists this ribosomal RNA (1471 nucleotides) under Lactiplantibacillus plantarum. RNAcentral describes it as "Lactobacillus plantarum 16S ribosomal RNA". It matches the Rfam family "Bacterial small subunit ribosomal RNA". The record is from RNAcentral. Lineage: Bacteria; Bacillati; Bacillota; Bacilli; Lactobacillales; Lactobacillaceae.